AAGCCAGUCAGUUGGUCUGCUUAUCUGAAUGUGUUUCUGCAGAAAUAUAGAGAAAGCUGUCAAUAGUGAUGCCAUGUUAUGAGCCUUUAGGACAGCUGAGGUCGUUAAAGUCCCUGAAAAUGGCUACAAUA
RNAcentral lists this small nucleolar RNA (131 nucleotides) under Jaculus jaculus (lesser Egyptian jerboa). RNAcentral describes it as "Small nucleolar RNA SNORA33 (ENSJJAG00000007634.1)". It matches the Rfam family "Small nucleolar RNA SNORA33". From Rfam's summary of the family: ACA33 is a member of the H/ACA class of snoRNA that guide the sites of modification of uridines to pseudouridines. Lineage: Eukaryota; Metazoa; Chordata; Mammalia; Rodentia; Dipodidae. The record is from Rfam by way of RNAcentral.